GCAUCGUAUGCAACCAAAUUUAUUAUGUACUAAUGACCUCAUGGAGUUCUCUGCAAAAGGCCCUGGAUGUUCUUCACUCCAGUUAGACAGAGGUGGCACGCCUCUCUCACUAAGCCAGCUACCAGGAGACUGUGGCUACUCUGUGAAAAGGACUGCAGUGGGCCUUGUGUUUGUCGCCCCAUUUGAUGGUUGUGAUGUUAUAAAACAGGGAAAUAGCCACUUGCUGCAGAUGUUGUGGCACGACAAUCCAGUAACCCUCUCCUGCCCGGCAUCAAGCUCAGACCAAGUCUCUCCAGUUUUAUCCACUACUCCAGCUCCAACUACAGUAGCACCUACCACAGCUGCCGGGCUUCCUCCACAGAAUCAACAGUGGAUGCCCCCCUUCUUUGGAGGCUACUACCCUGUAAUGCCUGUGGAGACUCC
This is a long non-coding RNA of Alosa alosa (allis shad), 423 nucleotides long. RefSeq lists it as uncharacterized. NCBI's taxonomy places the organism in Eukaryota, Metazoa, Chordata, Actinopteri, Clupeiformes, Clupeidae. The transcript is spliced from 3 exons. The record is from RefSeq and is a predicted model, not a curated record.